AUACUUACCUGGACGGGGUCGACGGGUGAUCAAUAAGAUCCGUGGCUUAGGGCAGUGGUCUCCAUUGCACUUGGGAGGUGCUCUGCUCUACCAUCUACCCAAAGCGGGAGACUGGACGUCAUAAUUUGUGUUAGAGGGGUUACGCGUUCGCGCGGCCCCUGC
Musa acuminata subsp. malaccensis (wild Malaysian banana) is the source of this 162-nucleotide non-coding RNA. The record is from Rfam. NCBI's taxonomy places the organism in Eukaryota, Viridiplantae, Streptophyta, Magnoliopsida, Zingiberales, Musaceae.